GCUGGCGGCAUGCCUAACACAUGCAAGUCGAACGGUAACAGGUCUUCGGAUGCUGACGAGUGGCGCACGGGUGAGUAACGCGUGGAUAUCUGCCUAUGAGUGGGGGACAACUUUCGGAAACGAAAGCUAAUACCGCAUAAUCUCUACGGAGCAAAGCAGGGGACCUUUCGGGGCCUUGUGCUUAUAGAUGAGUCCGCGUCAGAUUAGCUAGUUGGUGGGGUAAGAGCCUACCAAGGCGAUGAUCUGUAGCUGGUUUGAGAGGAUGAUCAGUCACACUGGAACUGAGACACGGUCCAGACUCCUACGGGAGGCAGCAGUGGGGAAUUUUGCACAAUGGGCGCAAGCCUGAUGCAGCGAUGCCGCGUGUGGGAAGAAGGCCUUUGGGUUGUAAACCACUUUCAAUUGGGAAGAAGGGAUGAGAAUUAAUAAUUCUCUGACUUGACGGUACCUUUAGAAGAAGCACCGGCUAAUUUCGUGCCAGCAGCCGCGGUAAUACGAAAGGUGCAAGCGUUGUUCGGAUUUACUGGGCGUAAAGAGAUCGUAGGUGGUUUGUUAAGUUGGAUGUGAAAUCCCGGGGCUCAACCUCGGAACUGCAUCCAAAACUGGCAGACUUGAGUUCGGGAGGGGUAAGCGGAAUUCCGUGUGUAGCAGUGAAAUGCGUAGAUAUACGGAGGAACACCUGAGGCGAAGGCGGCUUACUGGACCGAUACUGACACUGAGGAUCGAAAGCGUGGGUAGCAAACAGGAUUAGAUACCCUGGUAGUCCACGCCCUAAACGAUGUCAACUAGCCGUUGCGGGUAUCGACCCCUGCAGUGGCGCAGCUAACGCGAUAAGUUGACCGCCUGGGGAGUACGGUCGCAAGA
This 864-nucleotide ribosomal RNA is filed under the name uncultured Zetaproteobacteria bacterium. Its description in RNAcentral is "bacterial SSU rRNA". It matches the Rfam family "Bacterial small subunit ribosomal RNA", at positions 35 to 893 of the family's 1533-position model. The record is from RNAcentral. Lineage: Bacteria; Pseudomonadati; Pseudomonadota; Candidatius Mariprofundia.